CGGAGGGUGCAAGCGUUAUCCGGAUUUACUGGGUUUAAAGGGUGCGUAGGUGGGUCUGUAAGUCAGUGGUGAAAUCUCCGAGCUUAACUCGGAAACUGCCAUUGAUACUAUAGGUCUUGAAUUAUCUGGAGGUAAGCGGAAUAUGUCAUGUAGCGGUGAAAUGCUUAGAUAUGACAUAGAACACCAAUUGCGAAGGCAGCUUACUACGGAUCGAUUGACACUGAGGCACGAAAGCGUGGGAUCAAACAGGAUU
RNAcentral lists this ribosomal RNA (253 nucleotides) under uncultured bacterium. RNAcentral's name for it is "partial 16S ribosomal RNA". It matches the Rfam family "Bacterial small subunit ribosomal RNA", at positions 526 to 779 of the family's 1533-position model. The record is from RNAcentral.